This 265-nucleotide long non-coding RNA is filed under the name Homo sapiens (human). RNAcentral describes it as "non-protein coding lnc-UBE2E2-1:2". The record is from RNAcentral. Lineage: Eukaryota; Metazoa; Chordata; Mammalia; Primates; Hominidae.
CUGAACAUGGCUUAAGUUGUACAAAGGGGCAGUGAGAGGUCACACUCUGCUGGUGAGCCUGCCGCUGUGCUAAAAUUGCCUAGAAGUAAGAUGAUCACAUUCUUCGUUGUCUGUUUGGUCUCCAACUUGAAACUACUGACAAACAGACCACGUACAGUUGCAGAAGAACCGCAAAGAUAAAGAUGAAGCCUAUCCUGUAAGGAACCGGAUCUGUCUGAUACUGUGAAUUGUUCCCUUAAGUGGAAGUAAUUCCAGCAGAUUUCCC